UUAAGCGACUAAGCGUACACGGUGGAUGCCCUGGCAGUCAGAGGCGAUGAAGGACGUGCUAAUCUGCGAUAAGCGUCGGUAAGGUGAUAUGAACCGUUAUAACCGGCGAUUUCCGAAUGGGGAAACCCAGUGUGAUUCGUCACACUAUCAUUAACUGAAUCCAUAGGUUAAUGAGGCGAACCGGGGGAACUGAAACAUCUAAGUACCCCGAGGAAAAGAAAUCAACCGAGAUUCCCCCAGUAGCGGCGAGCGAACGGGGAGCAGCCCAGAGCCUGAAUCAGUGUGUGUGUUAGUGGAAGCGUCUGGAAAGGCGCGCGAUACAGGGUGACAGCCCCGUACACAAAAAUGCACAUGCUGUGAGCUCGAUGAGUAGGGCGGGACACGUGGUAUCCUGUCUGAAUAUGGGGGGACCAUCCUCCAAGGCUAAAUACUCCUGACUGACCGAUAGUGAACCAGUACCGUGAGGGAAAGGCGAAAAGAACCCCGGCGAGGGGAGUGAAAAAGAACCUGAAACCGUGUACGUACAAGCAGUGGGAGCACAGAGCAAUCUGUGUGACUGCGUACCUUUUGUAUAAUGGGUCAGCGACUUAUAUUCUGUAGCAAGGUUAACCGAAUAGGGGAGCCGAAGGGAAACCGAGUCUUAACUGGGCGUUAAGUUGCAGGGUAUAGACCCGAAACCCGGUGAUCUAGCCAUGGGCAGGUUGAAGGUUGGGUAACACUAACUGGAGGACCGAACCGACUAAUGUUGAAAAAUUAGCGGAUGACUUGUGGCUGGGGGUGAAAGGCCAAUCAAACCGGGAGAUAGCUGGUUCUCCCCGAAAGCUAUUUAGGUAGCGCCUCGUGAAUUCAUCUCCGGGGGUAGAGCACUGUUUCGGCAAGGGGGUCAUCCCGACUUACCAACCCGAUGCAAACUGCGAAUACCGGAGAAUGUUAUCACGGGAGACACACGGCGGGUGCUAACGUCCGUCGUGAAGAGGGAAACAACCCAGACCGCCAGCUAAGGUCCCAAAGUCAUGGUUAAGUGGGAAACGAUGUGGGAAGGCCCAGACAGCCAGGAUGUUGGCUUAGAAGCAGCCAUCAUUUAAAGAAAGCGUAAUAGCUCACUGGUCGAGUCGGCCUGCGCGGAAGAUGUAACGGGGCUAAACCAUGCACCGAAGCUGCGGCAGCGGCACUGUGUGUUGUUGGGUAGGGGAGCGUUCUGUAAGCCUGCGAAGGUGUGCUGUGAGGCAUGCUGGAGGUAUCAGAAGUGCGAAUGCUGACAUAAGUAACGAUAAAGCGGGUGAAAAGCCCGCUCGCCGGAAGACCAAGGGUUCCUGUCCAACGUUAAUCGGGGCAGGGUGAGUCGACCCCUAAGGCGAGGCCGAAAGGCGUAGUCGAUGGGAAACAGGUUAAUAUUCCUGUACUUGGUGUUACUGCGAAGGGGGGACGGAGAAGGCUAUGUUGGCCGGGCGACGGUUGUCCCGGUUUAAGCGUGUAGGCUGGUUUUCCAGGCAAAUCCGGAAAAUCAAGGCUGAGGCGUGAUGACGAGGCACUACGGUGCUGAAGCAACAAAUGCCCUGCUUCCAGGAAAAGCCUCUAAGCAUCAGGUAACAUCAAAUCGUACCCCAAACCGACACAGGUGGUCAGGUAGAGAAUACCAAGGCGCUUGAGAGAACUCGGGUGAAGGAACUAGGCAAAAUGGUGCCGUAACUUCGGGAGAAGGCACGCUGAUAUGUAGAUGAAGUCCCUCGCGGAUGGAGCUGAAAUCAGUCGAAGAUACCAGCUGGCUGCAACUGUUUAUUAAAAACACAGCACUGUGCAAACACGAAAGUGGACGUAUACGGUGUGACGCCUGCCCGGUGCCGGAAGGUUAAUUGAUGGGGUCAGCGCAAGCGAAGCUCUUGAUCGAAGCCCCGGUAAACGGCGGCCGUAACUAUAACGGUCCUAAGGUAGCGAAAUUCCUUGUCGGGUAAGUUCCGACCUGCACGAAUGGCGUAAUGAUGGCCAGGCUGUCUCCACCCGAGACUCAGUGAAAUUGAACUCGCUGUGAAGAUGCAGUGUACCCGCGGCAAGACGGAAAGACCCCGUGAACCUUUACUAUAGCUUGACACUGAACAUUGAGCCUUGAUGUGUAGGAUAGGUGGGAGGCUUUGAAGUGUGGACGCCAGUCUGCAUGGAGCCGACCUUGAAAUACCACCCUUUAAUGUUUGAUGUUCUAACGUGGACCCGUGAUCCGGGUUGCGGACAGUGUCUGGUGGGUAGUUUGACUGGGGCGGUCUCCUCCUAAAGAGUAACGGAGGAGCACGAAGGUUGGCUAAUCCUGGUCGGACAUCAGGAGGUUAGUGCAAUGGCAUAAGCCAGCUUGACUGCGAGCGUGACGGCGCGAGCAGGUGCGAAAGCAGGUCAUAGUGAUCCGGUGGUUCUGAAUGGAAGGGCCAUCGCUCAACGGAUAAAAGGUACUCCGGGGAUAACAGGCUGAUACCGCCCAAGAGUUCAUAUCGACGGCGGUGUUUGGCACCUCGAUGUCGGCUCAUCACAUCCUGGGGCUGAAGUAGGUCCCAAGGGUAUGGCUGUUCGCCAUUUAAAGUGGUACGCGAGCUGGGUUUAGAACGUCGUGAGACAGUUCGGUCCCUAUCUGCCGUGGGCGCUCGGAGAACUGAGGGGGCGUGCGUCCUAGUACGAGAGGACCGGAGUGGACGCAUCACUGGUGUUCGGGUUGUCAUGCCAAUGGCACUGCCCGGUAGCUAAAUGCGGAAGAGAUAAGUGCUGAAAGCAUCUAAGCACGAAACUUGCCCCGAGAUGAGUUCUCCCUGACUCCUUGAGAGUCCUGAAGGAACGUUGAAGACGACGACGUUGAUAGGCCGGGUGUGUAAGCGCAGCGAUGCGUUGAGCUAACCGGUACUAAUGAACCGUGAGGCUUAACCUU
RNAcentral lists this ribosomal RNA (2905 nucleotides) under Escherichia coli DEC11B. Its description in RNAcentral is "bacterial LSU rRNA". It matches the Rfam family "Bacterial large subunit ribosomal RNA". The record is from RNAcentral. Lineage: Bacteria; Pseudomonadati; Pseudomonadota; Gammaproteobacteria; Enterobacterales; Enterobacteriaceae.